GGGGCUUUAGCUCAGUUGGGAGAGCGCCUGCUUUGCAAGCAGGAGGUCAUCGGUUCGAUCCCGUUAAGCUCCA
Molecule: transfer RNA, 73 nt
Filed under: Ligilactobacillus agilis
Lineage: Bacteria; Bacillati; Bacillota; Bacilli; Lactobacillales; Lactobacillaceae
Also listed under: 1 other name
Description: Lactobacillus agilis tRNA-Ala
Rfam family: tRNA
About the family: Transfer RNA (tRNA) molecules are approximately 80 nucleotides in length. Their secondary structure includes four short double-helical elements and three loops (D, anti-codon, and T loops). Further hydrogen bonds mediate the characteristic L-shaped molecular structure. tRNAs have two regions of fundamental functional importance: the anti-codon, which is responsible for specific mRNA codon recognition, and the 3' end, to which the tRNAs corresponding amino acid is attached (by aminoacyl-tRNA synthetases). tRNAs cope with the degeneracy of the genetic code in two manners: having more than one tRNA (with a specific anti-codon) for a particular amino acid; and 'wobble' base-pairing, i.e. permitting non-standard base-pairing at the 3rd anti-codon position.
Source: RNAcentral